ACAGACUCACCUUUCUCUGACCUUUGCUCCUACACACAUACAAGCCUUCUUCGCCACUUCUUCUUAUUCUCCGAUCAAAAUUCCGGCGAGCUCGAACUCUAAGCAUCUCAGAUUUAUGUGGUUUAAAAAGUAAAGCUCCAGUUAUGCACAUCAGGUGCUUGUGAAGACGACUGACCGAAUUUAAUCAACAUGGAUUCUUUGGGUUCGAUUUUUGAGUAAGAUCUAUUUAACAAGCUUGGUUGAGCUAAAAUUACUAGAAGUAAAGAAAUGCACACACGCGAAAAGGGGAGAAGAUCUGGUAAAAACAAAUAGAGAGGAGAAAAUCGUGAGAGCAAAAACUAGAGUCGUCUUCUUCUUCUAAUGGUCUGUUUCUUUGAGAUUCAUAUAAAAUGCACACACACAAAGAAGAGAGUAUAAGGUUUCUUGUUAAGUUAAUUUGUGC
Molecule: long non-coding RNA, 442 nt
Filed under: Nicotiana benthamiana
Lineage: Eukaryota; Viridiplantae; Streptophyta; Magnoliopsida; Solanales; Solanaceae
Description: long non-coding RNA (NBEN_LNC029629)
Source: RNAcentral